CAAAAAGUAGCUUAAAACAAAGCAUUCAACUUACAAUUGAAAAAUGUUAGAAUAAAACUAACCUUUUUGC
Molecule: transfer RNA, 70 nt
Filed under: Holbrookia lacerata
Lineage: Eukaryota; Metazoa; Chordata; Lepidosauria; Squamata; Phrynosomatidae
Also listed under: 1 other name
Description: tRNA-Val
Rfam family: tRNA
About the family: Transfer RNA (tRNA) molecules are approximately 80 nucleotides in length. Their secondary structure includes four short double-helical elements and three loops (D, anti-codon, and T loops).
Source: RNAcentral